This is a long non-coding RNA of Humulus lupulus (European hop), 889 nucleotides long. RefSeq lists it as uncharacterized. The transcript has 2 exons. The record is from RefSeq and is a predicted model, not a curated record. Lineage: Eukaryota; Viridiplantae; Streptophyta; Magnoliopsida; Rosales; Cannabaceae.
UUUAGCUUCAGUUAUAAACUAACGUCAAAAUGCAUUUUUGUUGUGGUAGAAACAUAUAAAUUGGAGACAAAAAAUUUCUAUUCAUAUAUCUUAUCAAAAGUAAAGUGUGUUAACAGAUUUCACUAAAAAAAAUAAAAUAAUAACAAUAUUACAUAUAAUACGUAACAAAACUUAGACUCUAUCCAUAGUGUUUAUAUCUAAGCUCUACUAGUAGAGUUAAUAAAUUAAAAAAUUCCUUAAAAGGAAAAUAAUAGUGUUCAUCCAUGGGCUAAAACAAAAAACGUGAAAUGAAAACUUCAUUUAAGCUAACACCAAUUAGGACACCACAUUAAAUAAGGCACUUCAUGUUAUUUUCUCAUACUAUCGAGAGUUAAGCUGUAUCUAUACGUCCACCAUUUUCAAUACCUAAUUUUUUUAGAAAAAAAAUUAUCCUUACGAUUUUCAAUACUCCCAAUAAGUUUAUGCUGUUUGCAAAAUUAUUAAACAGCUAACAUUAAUAAUUUGGCUUGGCUCAACAUCCUCAGGGCAAGCACAGGCAAGGGGCUCGACAUCAAUAGUUAAAUCGACGAUAAGACGUGGGACGGCCAUGGGUGCUCUCGAUAAGUUUUCUUUCUUUCCUCUGGGAGGUGCACAAAGGUUGUUCGACGGGCAGCAGAAGGCAAGGGGCUGUUUGAUGGAGUGGCGGAGUGCCUGAGAGUGUGGCAGAACUAGAUUUUCCACAGAUCUAAUUUCGCUUAGUUUUUUUAAAUUAUUUUAUUUCUAACUGGUUUUUGUUUUUAGAUUUGAUUAUGUUUCGUAAAAAUUUGAUUGAAUGAGCGAUAAAAUUAUUUUGGGUUGAUUACAAUGUGUGCUUUGGCGUAUUGGAUAUAAACUGAAUUUUGUUUGGGUU